RNAcentral lists this ribosomal RNA (513 nucleotides) under Icosta sp. 2 ES-2018. Its description in RNAcentral is "partial 16S ribosomal RNA". The stretch from base 391 to 513 matches the Rfam family "Bacterial large subunit ribosomal RNA", at positions 2473 to 2595 of the family's 2925-position model. The record is from RNAcentral. Lineage: Eukaryota; Metazoa; Arthropoda; Insecta; Diptera; Hippoboscidae.
ACAUUUCUUUUUGAAUAUUUAUAUAAAGUUUAACCUGCUCAAUGAAUAAUUAAAUAGCCGCAGUAUUUUGACUGUGCAAAGGUAGCAUAAUAAUUAGUCUUUUAAUUGAAGGCUGGAAUGAAUGGUUGGACGAAAUAUUGACUGUUUCAUGUAAAAUUAGUAUAGAAAUUUAUUUUUUAGUAAAAAAGCUAAAAUAAUAUUAAAAGACGAGAAGACCCUAUAAAUCUUAAUAUUUAUUAAUUAUAUAUUUAUUAGAAAUUAAUUAAUAUAUAUUUAUUAUAUAUUUUAUUGGGGUGAUAUUAAAAUUUAAUAAACUUUUAAUUAUAAUUAACAAAAAUUAUUGAAUUUAAUGAUCUUGUUUUAUGGAUUAAAAGAAUAAGUUACUUUAGGGAUAACAGCGUAAUUUUUUUGGAGAGUUCAUAUUGAUAAAAAAGAUUGCGACCUCGAUGUUGGAUUAAGAAAAAUUUUAGGUGCAGAAGUUUAAAAAAUUAAGUCUGUUCGACUUUUAAUUUC